Molecule: long non-coding RNA, 3057 nt
Filed under: Mytilus galloprovincialis (Mediterranean mussel)
Lineage: Eukaryota; Metazoa; Mollusca; Bivalvia; Mytilida; Mytilidae
Source: RNAcentral
GAAUCGGGCUGGUAAAACCCGUCUGGCUAAGUGGUAUAUGCAUUUUGAUGAUGAUGAAAAACAGAAACUAAUUGAAGAAGUGCAUGCUGUUGUUACUGUCCGUGAUGCUAAACACACUAAUUUUGUAGAGGUAUUCUAUGUGAUACUAGCACUUGUACAUACAAUACCCAUUAUAUGAAUAAACAAACAAUUAUUUUUUAAGUGUCUCUUAUACAAAAUUUUAUAGUAAUGCAAUAUAAUUCUUGAAAAAAGUGGACACAGUAAGUUUCAAGUGGUGAUCGAAUCAUAAAAAUGCUGAAACAUCAACUUGAAACUAAGCACACUUAUUACAAUUUGAAAUACAUGUAUAUAAAAAAAAUGCAAAAUAAAGAUUUUGAUGCUCAUUUUAUGGUUCCCUAAACAUAGAAAUGUUGUUGACACUUUUAAUUGUUAUAAACAUGAAGAUGUGGUAUGAUUGCCAAUGAGACACCUCACCACAACAGACCAAAUAACAUAGAAAUUAACAAAUAUUUGUCACCUUAUAAUAUAACCUUCAACAAUGAUUGCCCAUACUGUGAAGUCAGCCACAAAGACUCCGAAAUGACGCAAAUGUGAAACAAUUUAAGCGAGAAAACUAAAGGCCAAAUGUAUUUACAAAAUAAUGAAUAACAAUGAAUGCUUAACAGUAGUUGUGAUUUUCAAAUGUAUAAGAUUUUUUUAUCUAUAGAUAUACCUGUGUAUAAUAUUAAUAUGUAUGUUGUUUUUUUACAGUUUAGGAAUUUUAAGAUUGUGUACAGAAGAUAUGCUGGUUUAUAUUUCUGUAUCUGUGUUGAUGUAAACGACAACAAUCUGGCUUAUUUAGAGGCAAUACACAACUUUGUAGAAGUGCUUAAUGAAUAUUUCCAUAAUGUCUGUGAAUUAGAUCUUGUAUUCAACUUUUAUAAGGUAAAGUAUUUAUAUUGUGUCUCAAAGUUUAACCUUCAUUUUGGAUUCAAAAUUAUAAAUGUUGAAUAAUUAUUAAUUGAGUAGUAAUGACAGUAUUGAAAUUUGUGAUCUUCGUUUUGUUCCUUUGCUUCCUCAACCAAUAAAGCUUGUCACCAUGAUUUUGCUGAAAGUGAUGUUAAACACUAACAAUCAAUCUAUCAAUCUUAUCUUAUCUUUAUGAUGUUGUAACUGACAGAACAAGCCAUACAAUUACAGAAUGGACAUUUUGAAGUUUCAACUACAUUGUUUUUAUUUUCUAUCUUCUGUGGGUUUUUUUUAGACCUUGCUCCCUUAGGUUUAUGGUCAAGUGACUUUCAAUCAAAUUCAAUUAUGUUUCCUGCUUGAGUUAGUGUGAUAGGAUUUAAAAAUAAGAUAGACAAUGCUAUUUUCUAUAAAGUUGCAUUAAUUAAUAUCAUGACACAGUUAUAAGAAAGUGUGGUAUUAGUGCCAAUGAGACAACUCGCCUUUCAAUUCAUAAUUAGUAAAAAGUAAACCAUUAUAGGUCAAAUUAAGACCUUCAAUACAGAGUCUUGGCUGACAACAAACAGCAAGCUAUAAAGCCCCCCAAAAAUGACUAGUGAGUAGUGUAAAACCAUUCAAACAUUAAAACCAACGUUUAAUCUAUAAAAAAAAUAUGUAUAAACCACAUCAAUGUACGACAACCACUGAACAAUAGGUUCCUGACUUAGGUCACAGGUGCAGUUGGUUUAAAUGUUGAAAGUCUCAGUUUGUCAACCAUUUUGAAGCCCUGUUACCUAGUUCAUGAUCCUGCAGCUUUGAUUUAAUUAGCAAUGUUGCUAUCCAUCCGAUGUCUUUUCCUGAAUUUUCUGCUGACAAACAUGACAUAUAUCUCUGUGUCAACAGUUUAUUUAAUUGUUUUUAACAUAUUUUGUUUUAUUUUCAGGUUAUAGUGUGGUGGAUGAGAUGUUUUUAGCUGGAGAAAUUAGAGAGACAAGUCAAACAAAAGUUUUAAAACAACUUCUUAUGUUAUCAUCAUUAGAGUAAUUACUAUGUUAUAGGACUUAAAAUAAAUAUAGACCAAAGUGUUGUAGACAGAGAUGUUAUGCUUGAUAUUGUGUAUGAUUUUAUAACUAUGAACUUUAUAAUAGUUGGUUGUUUUCAGAAAUGUUACAAUAAUCAGCUAUUUAGAUUAAUGUCUUAGUCCACAUGUAAAAAUCUAAUUAUGUUUCUGAAGACAGCAUUUGAGUUUAAGGUAAAGAAUUUGCCUAAAAAAUGGAUAAAACUAGAUGUGAUUAGAGUGAAAAGUGUAGUUUUUAUUUUGUUGUAAAGUGAUCAUUAUAAUAUCCAAAUGUUGUUUUGUUGAGAAAUGAUAAUAAUGAGAACGUUCAUAGAUAUUGUUCAAAUGAAUGAUACAUUCCAAAUCACCUAAUUAUUGUUAAUGAAGAUACAGAAUAUUAUUGCAUCCUCAAGCAUGGUUUUGUGUUCAUGCUUUAUUUGAACAUAUAUAUAUAUAUAUAUAUAUAUAUAUAUAUAUAUAGUAUAUAUAUAUAUAUAUAUAGUCAAACCUGUUUAAGAGACCACCUGUAUUCAUCCAAAACUUGUGUUAAAAGACCACCAAUUUUAGAUCCCUCUAAAGUACCUUUCAUAUAAAUUGAAUCUGUAAUAAAAGACCACCUGUCUUUAAAAGACACAACUUUUUUACUCUCCCUUCAAUGGUCUCUUAAAACAGGUUUGACUGUAUAUACUUAUCAGAAAGGAAAAAUAGGAAAACAAAAUCUAAUUGCCGCUAAGAAAAAUUUAUUAGACCCUUAUAGAAGUAAAUUAAGGCAUUUUGGUGAGAAACUGAAGAGGCCUCUGAAUAAAUUGCAUAAAUCCCUAUAUACAUGAAACACUAUUAAUGUUAAAUACUCAUUUAUUCAUUAUCUUUAUGAGUAUUGAUAUAUCAAUUAUAAAUUAGAGGUACAAAACUGUUCUUAUAUUUAUGAUAACAAAGGUGAAAUAAAACCAGAGUUUUUUUUGCCUCUGGUAUUUGCUGCAAUGGUUUAUUGUCAUAACUGCAGCAUUAUAAAUACAUGUAGUACCAUAAAAUGGGAAUGUGCAAUGUACAUCCUGAAAAUAAAGUAUGUAAACAUA